UACGUAGGGUGCGAGCGUUGUCCGGAAUUACUGGGCGUAAAGCGUGCGCAGGCGGUUUGGUAAGACAGACGUGAAAUCCCCGGGCUUAACCCGGGAACUGCGUUUGUGACUGCCAGGCUAGAGUACGGCAGAGGGGGGUAGAAUUCCACGUGUAGCAGUGAAAUGCGUAGAUAUGUGGAGGAAUACCGAUGGCGAAGGCAGCCCCCUGGGUCGAUACUGACGCUCAUGCACGAAAGCGUGGGGAGCAAACAGG
Molecule: ribosomal RNA, 253 nt
Filed under: uncultured Gallionella sp.
Lineage: Bacteria; Pseudomonadati; Pseudomonadota; Betaproteobacteria; Nitrosomonadales; Gallionellaceae
Description: partial 16S ribosomal RNA
Rfam family: Bacterial small subunit ribosomal RNA
Source: RNAcentral